UACGUAGGGACCAAGCGUUGUUCGGAUUUACUGGGCGUAAAGGGCGCGUAGGCGGCAAUUCAAGUCAUCUGUGAAAUCUCCGGGCUUAACUCGGAACGGUCAGAUGAUACUGCUUUGCUAGAGUGCGGAAGGGGCAAUCGGAAUUCUUGGUGUAGCGGUGAAAUGCGUAGAUAUCGUAAGGAAGACCAGUGGCGAAGGCGGGUCUCUGGACAGUUCCUGACGCUGAGGCACGAAGGCCAGGGGAGCAAACGGG
Molecule: ribosomal RNA, 253 nt
Filed under: uncultured bacterium
Lineage: Bacteria
Description: partial 16S ribosomal RNA
Rfam family: Bacterial small subunit ribosomal RNA
Source: RNAcentral